RNAcentral lists this long non-coding RNA (1025 nucleotides) under Equus asinus (donkey). Its description in RNAcentral is "lncRNA (ENSEASG00005031237.1)". The record is from RNAcentral. Lineage: Eukaryota; Metazoa; Chordata; Mammalia; Perissodactyla; Equidae.
GAAGACCUUAAAAAUUCAAAAUCAUAGUGAUGGAGAUAAAAGGAUGACCAACAAUACAAGAGUUUAAAUAUGUCGACGAAGAUAAUCCAUAACCAAUCUAUAAAUGAAAAUUUGGGCGAGUUUAUUCUGAGCUGAAAUCUGAGGACCACGGCCCGGGGCCUUUCUUCCCAAAGGAAGAAAGGGCACCAAAGAAGUGAGGAGAUGCAAUCACCAACCACCCUGAACCAGACCAAGCCUCACCACAAGAGCCACGCCUAUGACCUAUGCCUUCUUUUUAAUGCUAUGAUGUCUCCAGGAAGAGCUUAGGCCUUAUUACCAUAACCUGCAGUGUAUGCGGAAGCAUGUUUUCCAUCUGAUCCUGUGUAAGCCAAUACCCUUCUCUCCCUUUUGAAUAUUUAUUCAUCAUCCAAAACAAAAGGUCCCUGCUCCCCUUUGUUUGAGGAUGCCAUGACUUUGGAAAUGAUUCUGCAUGGUCUCCUAUUUGCUGCAAAUGUACUUUACUUUAUGAGACAACUGCUUCUGGUGGAGAGUGAUUUAGCUCGUCAGGAGGCAAACCCACUUUGGUUCAGUAACAACCUCACCAAAUUCACCCAAGUCCUAACACCAUGUGCUCUAGAGUUCGACUUGCUGUGUUUGAAUCCUGGCUCUGUCAGUGACUAAUGGUUUGAACUGGGGAAAUUCGCUGAAGCUGCCUGGUCCUCCCCUGUUUCCUCACCUGUUUAGUGUAGGAUUUUUGUGUAGGGUGUAGGAGUGUUGUGAAGUUUCUGGCAUACUGUAAACUCUCAAUAAAUGUUAACUAUUCUUGAUAGCUGAGAGUUUUUAGGGCAUGGCCUCGUGAAGAAAUGGGACUGGAACUAGUCCCAGGAUGGAUGUAAGCAAGACUAGAGUAGAAAGGAGAGAAAAUUCAAACCCAAGGCCCCUAAGAAUCCAUACAGGUCAUGACCCACAUGGCUGAGAGCUCUGAUGCAUGUUGUAGGAGUCACCUUGAGGACUGCUCUGAAGGGUAGAUGUGAAGUAUGUGUACG